GAGGGGAUAUAUAGUGCUGCAGGGAGCAGAGCGCGGGGGGUCUGCUGUGUCGGUUGGAGCUAGGAGAGGUUCAGGAUCGGGACGGAGGAGAUUGUUGUGCCGGACCAGGAGGCAUCUGACCCCGACUCACAGAAACUCACGCUGACUUACUUACCCGAUAGGAGCGGUGGGGUGUUUGGACCCAGAGCACAUCGAGUGUCACAAAGGGGAUGUAUAUAGCCAGCCAGCAGCUGAGCUGCCACAGCAAAGACAGCAAAGGCAGAGGACGGAGACAGGCGGUGAUGCAGGGACGCCACGGAGGGGAAGACUGAGGACGGAGACUGUUGGAUUGACGCGUCCCCGAGCUGCGGUUCCUCCUCUGAGUGACAGCACCAGCAACCUGCCUCUUGUGUGAGUACAGUACAAUAGUACAGUGUAUGCUGGUCACUUCAUUAGACACAGCUGAUAGCCCAGGCCAGUGACAGCAGCUCCGCACCAGAACAGGCACAGCAUUGAUAGAAGCCUGCAUUGAUGCAAGCCCCACAUCCUACAGUGUUAAGCAGGAAAAAGGGAGCAGCAGCUUGAGAGGACAUAGAUAUACGCAGGCAGCGCAUAACUGGCACAGUAACUGUCAUACUGUGAGAGGACCAGAGUACAUCUGCUAGUGAGUCUUCAUGCCAGCAAGAGGCUGGGGGAGAUAAGUGAUCCAAUUCAGCUUUAGUGCCAGGGAGAGAGGAUUUACCAGAUCAAACUUACCAAUUACCACCAUAUUAUAAGGAAUGGGCAACAAAUAUUACAGCAAACAUUAAGGCGAUGGAGUCCCACUGACCUACUAACAGAAGCAACAAGGUACUGUCGGCUGUCAAACAGAUCCGCCUCUUGGCAAGAGCAGUGUAAACUGGGACCUGAUGUCAUGACGUCACGUCGGGGCCAGACUUAGAGAGGGAGGAGCAGCAGUACACAGCAGCACCGCCGUCCAGGAGUGAGGAGAAGGAUGCCACCGCCAUGGGAGAUAGACAGUGACAGCAGCUGAUGAACUGUUAGUUGGUCAGCAGUGUGACACGAUCCUGUAUUCUUCAGACAUUGCUGCUACAACCCCACCAAGUUAUGACACUAAUGGCAUCAUAAAAGCCUGCUCACAGAAACAUGACAUUGAUGUCAUCAUACAACUUCCCCUGUCCACUUGAAGCAAAUGGUGCAGUGUAGUCACACCCACCUCUUCUUUUAAUACCAUAUCUCCCGGAAACAAUGUACAAAAAAAUAGGCUAGUGAAAUAAGGGGAAAAAGAACAGUCAUUUAUCCCACUGCAUUUCCCCUGGGAAGGGACACAUGAACAGAUCAGCUGUGAAUUCAUUUAUCUGGCUUGUUCCUGGUCUGCAAACAAACAACAGUUACCACGUCUUUCAUUGGCACAUAGGAAUCUCUGUAAACUGAUUACACCCUCAGUAAUUCUAUUAUUUGCUAAUGUAUUUCAUAGUUAUCAGCUUAGAACAGGAUGGGAGGGACAGAGUACAGGUGACCACAGGUGAAGUGUUCUUACACCUGAAUGUAAAUAUGAGGGUGGUUUAAUAAAUAAAGUAACAAGACCUCUCAUUGCAUACAUUUAUUCAAGUCAUACAUAUACGUAUAAUCAAUAAUAUGGCCAUGGAACACAAUCAUUUUCCACAUAGUCCCCAUACUUGUCUAAGCAUUUGUUUCAAUAGUACUUCCAAGGACAUUUUCCUGGCAUAGAACAAAUCUGUGUCAAUCAUCUGAACCCCAGUUGCUCAUGAACGAUUUUGAGCACAGAACCCACUGAGAUGUUCAGUGCAUCGGCAAUAUCACUAGAAUGCGUUUGUCCUUCUGAAUCAGCCCUUGACAUUGUCAUCUUUGGUGGACUUGCUUGGCCGGCCGGAUCACUGCUUAUCUUGAACGUCUUUUCUGGAGUUAUCAAAGGCGGGGCACGAAACCCAAACCUGUUUUUGUGACUUGAUGUUAUCAUUGUACACCUCAACAAGCUGGUGAUGAAUUUAAGCUGCUGAUGUGUCCUUAGGACACAGAAAUCAAAUCACACUAAACAUCUCAAUGUUUGAUCAUGUUUCCGUCAGCCCCACCAUCUGACAACUGAUGUUGGGAUAGUACAACGGAUAUGAGGCCCAGUCUAAUUGCCAUGAGGGCAAGCAGUGAUCUACCUGUUUGUGGCCUGGUGGAAAAUCAGAAAGAAAGAUAGAACAAUACACACGUGAGAGGUCUUGUUAUAUUGCUGACUGAACCAGAGUCGUAUAAAUAUAAAAAAAGUCACAAUAAAAGGUGACAUUUUUCAUUUACUGAACACUUCAGUGUGCUGAUGAAAUCAUAGCUUUUAUCACCUGCUACACCCAUUAUCCAGUCUAUAAACCCUUCUGGGCAUAUUUAUCACAAUCCACUGAUUUGAUGUGAUCAUUUUCACACUCAUUUUCAAAGUUGGAGUGUCGGGACAGAGAUUCCAAGAAAUCCCUGUCAGCAAAGGGUAGAAGCAAAGAGAUACAGCAGCUACCUCUAUCAGCCAUCAGGCUGUGCAUCUGUAUCCUUCUCUUGUAUAAAAUGCGUUAGAGUAGCCCAUCUGAAGAUGGCAUUAGGUGCUGGGGCCAAACUUUUCAAUGGCUUGAUAAACUUCACAUUUUAGUAGCCCCCAUAGAAACCAGCCCACGGGAGGAGUUGGGUGGAUCGUGAGCAUACUGUACAUUCAAUCCCACAAAAUGAGUGCCACAUGUAGUAGGCACGGUCCUGAUUUCCCCUCACUUUUACUACUCACUACAAACAAGGGAUCUAAGUGCAGGGGUUUUGAAGGAGAAAACUGAUAUGGAAAUAAUGAAGGGAAUGUUUCUAAAUGGUCUGAGUUCAGUCCCAGCUCCAAACACUGAUUUACCCACUGGUUAGACCAGAAGAAAUAUCCAUGCAGGAGGGCGAUUCAUAAGCUCAGACCUUGAGGAAGAUGCACUGUGUAUCGAAACGCGUUGCCUGAGGAGGACUGUGACUGGACUAAUUCAUCACCUGCCGGUGGACUGGGAUAUCUGGGGGAUGCCUGGGAUAUUCUUUGUUAACUGCACUAUUGUCUACCUUUUUACAGUAGAUCAAACCAUCUGGUGAGAGUAUAUUCAUACUGUUUUAGUUCGUAUGUCAUUUUAUGAAUGUGAUUAAAAUGAUAAAUACA
Pseudophryne corroboree (corroboree frog) is the source of this 3151-nucleotide long non-coding RNA. RefSeq lists it as uncharacterized. The record is from RefSeq and is a predicted model, not a curated record. NCBI's taxonomy places the organism in Eukaryota, Metazoa, Chordata, Amphibia, Anura, Myobatrachidae. The transcript has 3 exons.